UCUCCGUUGGUGAACCAGCGGAGGGAUCAUUGCUGGAACGCGCCCCAGGCGCACCCAGAAACCCUUUGUGAACUUAUACCUAUUGUUGCCUCGGCGCUAGCUGGCCUCUGUGAGGUCCCUUGGAGACAAGGAGCGGCGCGCCGGCGGCCAACCAAACUCUGUUUCUUAGUGAAUCUCUGAGUAAAAAACAAAUGAAUCAAAACUUUCAACAACGGAUCUCUUGGUUCUGGCAUCGAUGAAGAACGCAGC
This 249-nucleotide unclassified non-coding RNA is filed under the name uncultured fungus. Its description in RNAcentral is "sequence contains ITS1, 5.8S rRNA gene". The stretch from base 201 to 249 matches the Rfam family "5.8S ribosomal RNA", at positions 1 to 49 of the family's 154-position model. Lineage: Eukaryota; Fungi. The record is from RNAcentral.